AGGACGAACGCUGGCGGCGUGCUUAACACAUGCAAGUGGAGCGACGAACCAGGGCUUGCCCUGGGGCAGAGCCGCGAACGGGUGAGUAACACGUGGGUUACCUGCCUCGAUGACCGGGACAACCCGAGGAAACUCGGGCUAAUACCGGAUGUGCCCGUAAGGGGAAAGGAAGCUUCGGCCUCCGCAUCGAGAUGGGCCCGCGGCCCAUUAGCUUGUUGGUGAGGUAACGGCUCACCAAGGCUUCGAUGGGUAGCUGGUCUGAGAGGACGAUCAGCCACACUGGGACUGAGACACGGCCCAGACUCCUACGGGAGGCAGCAGUGGGGAAUCUUGCGCAAUGCGCGAAAGCGUGACGCAGCAACGCCGCGUGGGGGAAGAAGGCUUUCGGGUUGUAAACCCCUUUCAGUUGGGACGAAGCUUCUUCGGUGAAUAGCCGAACGGAGUGACGGUACCUUCACAAGAAGCACCGGCUAGCUACGUGCCAGCAGCCG
Molecule: ribosomal RNA, 491 nt
Filed under: uncultured bacterium
Lineage: Bacteria
Description: SSU rRNA
Rfam family: Bacterial small subunit ribosomal RNA
Source: RNAcentral